This 250-nucleotide ribosomal RNA is filed under the name uncultured prokaryote. RNAcentral's name for it is "partial 16S ribosomal RNA". It matches the Rfam family "Bacterial small subunit ribosomal RNA", at positions 524 to 773 of the family's 1533-position model. The record is from RNAcentral.
UACGUAGGUGGCAAGCGUUGUCCGGAAUCAUUGGGCGUAAAGUGCGCGCAGGCGGUCCUUUAAGUCUGAUGUGAAAUCUUGCGGCUCAACCGUAAGCGGUCAUUGGAAACUGGGGGACUUGAGUGCAGGAGAGGAAAGCGGAAUUCCAUGUGUAGCGGUGAAAUGCGUAGAGAUAUGGAGGAACACCAGUGGCGAAGGCGGCUUUCUGGCCUGUAACUGACGCUGAGGCGCGAAAGCGUGGGGAGCAAAC